GACCAUGUGUUUAUCCAGAAGGCCACCUGCCCGCUGUCCCACAUUUGCCUGUGUGACACUGCCCAGUCUGGACCAACCCCAGAAGGAAGAACUUUCAGUCUUGGAGUGGAAAGGAGAAGAGAACCUCUCCAAAAUUGGGUAAACUGCUGGGCCCAAAAUACCUGGAUCUUCCCCCGAAGAGUUUAUACCCACUUGGGUGAGAAGAAGCCUUCUUGGGUGGCACUGUACAUGAAGACAGGCGGACCACGCCGAGUGACAACAUCACUGGUCAGCCCCUAGAAGCACGAGCCUGGCCCCUUGGAAAAGCAGACUGUUGCUGCAUCUCCUGAAGGUCAAAGCCAUCAGAAUCUCAGUGCUAUUAUCAGCGAGGGUUGCAAAGCCCAGCC
This is a long non-coding RNA of Heterocephalus glaber (naked mole-rat), 386 nucleotides long. The record is from Ensembl. NCBI's taxonomy places the organism in Eukaryota, Metazoa, Chordata, Mammalia, Rodentia, Bathyergidae.